ACCCGGAGCGAGGCCAUCGUGCAGCAAGGAGGCGAGGAGCGGCGGCGGCGCUGAGCCGGGCCCGGGUGUGGGGGCGCCUAUAUCCCCAGCCCAAGCUGCAGGAAGCCGCGCCGCUUCCUCGGAGGGGCUGGGACGGCGGCGGCCACGUGGGGGGCGGGGGCGACGCUCGGGGCCCGCGGCUGGAGGGGGAGUCGCUGCCUCACCCGCGCCUGGCGCCCGCGGCUCCCUCCGCCUCGCCGGCGUUGGCCCACCCUCUCGUAGCUCACCCCGCGAGGCUGGACAGCUCCCGGAACCCCGGAACCGGGAUCUAUUUCGGGGGCUCGGCUGCGUGGCGCCCAGGACUCUCCAGGGUCUCCCAGGAUCGCUCCCCGAAUUCGAGUCGCCCCCUCUCUCUUUCGGGUCUGGAGGGGUCGGCAAGCUGCUCUCCCAGACGUGGAGAAGAGGGAGGGGGCUGGGAGCUCCAGCGGCCUCUCGACGCCGCUGCUUCUAAGGGGCUGUCCUGGGUUGUGGGGGAAGGGGCGCCUGGAGCUGAGCCAUGCAGCUCAGGGUUCCUUAUCCUAUCCCUAGGAAUACCAGCUGAUGUCAGUCCGCCAGCCAAAACCAGGGAGGAGAAGCGGGAGCCAGCCCUCUGGAGUCGGGAGAAGGUCUGGGGAGUGGGGUAGAGGGGAAAGCAAAGUCCAAAUACCUUCCCUUCAGACACCUCCUGGGGCCUAGACCCCACAAACCUGUUGUGGGGAGGGCAAAAUACGAUGACUACGUUCCCAGGAAGAAGGUGCCACAGCUCUUCAGGACCACGGUUGGGAGAAAGAAUGGAGGGGUUUUAGAACCUUCAGUGUGCGACUUCAUGUGCCAGGUGAGUGUAACACCAUUUUACAGACCGAGAAGCUAAAGCUCAGGGCCAACAGCCCGGGAUUUGAAUUCAGAAGCUCUGGGUUCUAAUUCUGUCUUCUUACUCCCCAGCUAUAGAGCCUUGAAUGACACGUUUACCUUCAGGACUUCUCAUGUGAAAUAGGGACAUUCCCCUCCUCACUGUAUGAUGGCAGCUGUGAAAGGGCACUGCACUCGCUAAAUGCUAGUUUCCUUUCCUCUUUUCCUAAGUGACUUAUCUAAGGUCACACUGUUAAGGAAGCAGCAAGGCUGAGUCUGGGCCUCCGGGGGUCCUGACUUCAGCCACACCACAGCUGCUUCUUGUGUCCUGGGCCAGAGGUUCAUUAGUCUGAAGCAGCUGAGGAGCCCAGGAGCUGGUUUGGCCAUGACGUUCAAGUCCCAGACACAGCUGUCAGCACCAAACUUUCCUAAAUUACUCCCAGACACUGACCCUUGGACUCAGCUGCUGCUGUUGUCCCAGUUUACUGAUUCCUGCCCACCACAAAUUAUCUGUCCUGAUCUCUCCUGAAGUCUUCAUCUCAGGAUCUCAAGCUCUUGGAUCAUGGGCACGGAUAACCUGUUGUCCUCCUCUAUGGUCAAGAGGCUGCUUUUGCAAAGAAUCCAGUGGGAGAGAGUCAAUGGCCUGCUUGACGUGAACUCCAAAGUCCUCCUGGAACAGGGGCUCACUCUGUUGCCCACAUUGGAGUGCGGUGGAAGAAUCAUGGCAUGCUGCAGUCUUGAGCUUCUAGGCUCAAGAGAUCCUCCUGGUUCAGUCUCCCAAGUAGCUAGGACAGCAGGCAUAUUUUUUGUAGAUAUGGGGGUCUUGCUUUUUUGCCGAGGCUGGUCUCGAACUCCUGGCUUCAAGCAAUCUUCCUGCAUCAGUCUCUUAAAGUGUUGGGAUUCCAGGCAUGAACCACUGCACCUGGCCCUUGGGAAGUUUUAUUUUUAGCCUAGGGUUGGGGUUAAGUUUGCAUCAUGAUGUUGAGACCUCCAAAGGAGAACUUAUUGUAGUCAUUCCUGAGCUCAGGUGUCCAAACUGUCUAAUUGGAGAAUCUGGGAAUUUUCUCUCGUUUUGAUUUUCCUCUUCCACUUUUCCAUGCCAGUUGGAUGUUUGAAUGUUUUUAUCGACCUCUGAGAGCAUCCGGGUAACUGAGGGUUUACUUUGGGGGUCUUUGGAGAUGAAUAGGGACAGGAGACCUCACCUUUCUUUUCCAUGUAGCCAUAGGAGAUAGUCCCACGAUCUGAUGAUCUGUAGCAAUGGGUAGAGGAAGGGCCGUAUUAGGAACAGAAGCUAGUUUCGUCAUGGGAAGUCCCCUGUUUUCCACUCCUGAGGGCCCUCACAUUCCCUUUCUAAGCCCCUUUCUGCUUUUGCUAUUAAAAAAUACAGUUUUUAAAUUGCAAGUAAUAUGUAAGUAUAUACUUGUUGCAAAAUAUUUAACCCAGAAAACUUUGUAUCCCCACUCAUAUCUCAUUUCCCACAUAUUCUGGAUUUUUUUAAAGGAAAGCAUAAAUGGGAUUUGAUACUCCUAUUAUUCAGUGACUUUUUUUUUUCUUGAGAUGGAGUCUUGCUCUGUUGCCCAGGCUGGAGUGCAGUGGCGCCAUCUUGGCUCACUGCAACCUCCGCUUCCCAGGUUCAGGUGAUUCUACUGCCUCAGCCUCCUGAGCAGCUGGGAUUACAUGUGUACGCCGCCACAUCCAGCUAAUUUUUGUAUUUUAGUAGAGACAGGGUUUCACCAGGUUGGCCAGGCUUGUCUUGAACUCCUGACCUCAAGGGAUCCACCUGCCUUGGCCUCCCAAAAUGCUGGGAUUACAGGUGUGAGCCACUGUGCCUGGCCUCAGUGUCUUUUAAAAAAUGUGAUACUAUUGCUGGGUAUGCAGCUCAUGCCUGUAAUCCCAGUUACUCGGGAGCCUGAAGCAGGAACUUGAGCCCAGGAAUUGGAGACUAACCUGGGUGAUAUAGCGAGACUCUGUCUAAAAUAAUAAUAAUGAUAAUAAAGAAGCCAGGCACAGUGCCUCACACCUGUAAACCCAACACUUUGGAAGACCAAGGCAGGAGGAUCACUUGAAGUCAGGAGUUCAAGACCAGCCUGGGCAACAUGGCAAGACCCUGUCUCUACAAAAAAUAAAAAUAAAUUAGCCAGGCUUGGUGGCACAUGCCUGUAGUCCCAGCUCCAC
RNAcentral lists this long non-coding RNA (3042 nucleotides) under Homo sapiens (human). RNAcentral's name for it is "non-protein coding RAMP2-AS1:9". Lineage: Eukaryota; Metazoa; Chordata; Mammalia; Primates; Hominidae. The record is from RNAcentral.